RNAcentral lists this ribosomal RNA (373 nucleotides) under uncultured organism. RNAcentral describes it as "partial 16S ribosomal RNA". It matches the Rfam family "Bacterial small subunit ribosomal RNA", at positions 527 to 896 of the family's 1533-position model. The record is from RNAcentral.
AGAGGGUGCAAGCGUUAAUCGGGAAUGACUGGGGCGUAAAGGGCGUGUAGGUGGAUAGAUAAGUUAUGUGUGAAAUAUCCGGGGCUUAACCUGGGAGGGGGCCAUGUAAUACUGUCUAUCUAGAGUAGAGCAGAGGGAAGUAGAAUUUCCGGUGUAGCGGUGAAAUGCGUAGAGAUCGGAAGGAAUACCAGUGGCGAAGGCGGCUUCCUGGGCUCAUACUGACACUGAGGCGCGAAAGCGUGGGUAGCAAACAGGAUUAGAUACCCUGGUAGUCCACGCUGUAAACGAUGAGAACUAGAUGCUUGCUCCUAGAGGGUGAGUGUCGAAGCUAACGCAUUAAGUUCUCCGCCUGGGGAGUACGGUCGCAAGAUUA